This 260-nucleotide ribosomal RNA is filed under the name uncultured bacterium. RNAcentral describes it as "partial 16S ribosomal RNA". It matches the Rfam family "Bacterial small subunit ribosomal RNA", at positions 334 to 608 of the family's 1533-position model. The record is from RNAcentral.
CAUUCCUACGGGGCGCAGCAGUGGGGAAUAUUGGGCAAUGGGCGCAAGCCUGACCCAGCAACGCCGCGUGAAGGAAGAAGGCUUUCGGGUUGUAAACUUCUUUUAUCAGGGACGAAGCAAGUGACGGUACCUGAUGAAUAAGCCACGGCUAACUACGUGCCAGCAGCCGCGGUAAUACGUAGGUGGCAAGCGUUAUCCGGAUUUACUGGGUGUAAAGGGCGUGUAGGCGGGAGUGCAAGUCAGAUGUGAAAACUAUGGGC